RNAcentral lists this ribosomal RNA (433 nucleotides) under uncultured bacterium. Its description in RNAcentral is "partial 16S ribosomal RNA". It matches the Rfam family "Bacterial small subunit ribosomal RNA", at positions 29 to 507 of the family's 1533-position model. The record is from RNAcentral.
AACGAACGCUGGCGGCAUGCCUAACACAUGCAAGUCGAACGAGACCUUCGGGUCUAGUGGCGCACGGGUGCGUAACGCGUGGGAACCUGCCCUUAGGUUCGGAAUAACUCCCCGAAAGGGGUGCUAAUACCGGAUAAUGUCUUCGGACCAAAGAUUUAUCGCCUUUGGAUGGGCCCGCGUUGGAUUAGCUAGUUGGUAGGUUAAAAGCCUACCAAGGCGACGAUCCAUAGCUGGGCUGAGAGGAUGAUCAGCCACACUGGGACUGAGACACGGCCCAGACUCCUACGGGAGGCAGCAGUGGGGAAUAUUGGACAAUGGGCGAAAGGCUGAUCCAGCAAUGCCGCGUGAGUGAUGAAGGCCUUAGGGUUGUAAAGCUCUUUUACCCGGGAUGAUAAUGACAGUACCGGGAGAAUAAGCUCCGGCUAACUCCGUG